Molecule: ribosomal RNA, 392 nt
Filed under: uncultured bacterium
Lineage: Bacteria
Description: partial 16S ribosomal RNA
Rfam family: Bacterial small subunit ribosomal RNA
Source: RNAcentral
AUACGGAGGAUCCGAGCGUUAUCCGGAUUUAUUGGGUUUAAAGGGUGCGCAGGCGGCCAUUUAAGUCAGCGGUUAAAUCGUGGGGCUCAACCCCAUUCUGCCGUUGAUACUGGGUGGCUUGAUUGCGGUCGAGGUUGGCGGAAUUCGUUGUGUAGCGGUGAAAUGCAUAGAUAUGACGAAGAACACCGAUUGCGUAGGCAGCUGACCAGAUCGCAAAUGACGCUCAUGCACGAAAGUGCGGGGAUCGAACAGGAUUAGAUACCCUGGUAGUCCUCACAGUAAACGAUGAAUACUUGUUUUCGGCGAUAUAAUGUCGGAGGCAAAGCGAAAGUGAUAAGUAUUCCACCUGGGGAGUACGCCGGCAACGGUGAAACUCAAAGGAAUUGGCGGGG